UUGCACUCCUACCAAGUAGUUUGAUUUGAGCCUCCAGAAGUCAAAGAAUGGCCCAUAAUUUCCUGGAAUCUCUAACUAUCUGACCAGGAAGAUGAGGACUUGUCAGAUAAUUUGACAGGCUUGGUGGAAAUAUACUGUUUUGGAACGUGCUCUGAAUCGUCCCAAAAGGUUACUCAAACAGAAAUUGACUCUUGUCUGAUAGCAAGUCUUUGACACACCUGCAACAGGACUUUCCUGGCAGGGACACUGAAAUUGCUUGCCAUUUCCUUCUCAUUCUCAUUUUACAGAUGAAGAAACUAAGGAAUAUGGGCAUCCUGCUUUUUGGCCUUUCUUGGCAAGAAGAACAUCUGAAAAAUGUUUUGAAGAAAUCUGAAGAUUUGAUUAAAUAAGAUUUAAGGAGAGAGGGGAAAGGAAUGACAAAUAUCUUCAAAACUUGUUCUUCAAUUCUUUUAAAAUGGUGUCAUCUACAAAAUACCUUUAAUAGAGUAAUAGAAUCUCAAAGUUGGAAAGUCAUCUAGGUAGCCUACAUUUGAGUAGGAAUCUACUCUAUAAUAUAUCUGAGAAAUGGACAACCAGUUUCUACUAGAAGGCCUGGAGAAUUGAUACCUUUAUCUUUUUCUUCAGAGCUUAAGCUCCCGCCUCCAGUCUGCUUGUCUUCUCUGGCUCUCUUUCUGAGUCUAUCAGUCCUCCAGGAGAGCCACCAAGAGCCUGACCGAAGAUGGAAUGAAUUUUGUCCAGUCCUUGCUCGCUGUUAUAUACUCCAUUAUCAUAGUUGUGAAUCUGCCAAAUUACAUAGCCACCUGAAAAAAAUGUGGAUGCAUACCUGACACAAGACAGAGGAAAACCUUCAAGACCUUU
Long non-coding RNA from Sarcophilus harrisii (Tasmanian devil), 858 nucleotides. RefSeq lists it as uncharacterized. NCBI's taxonomy places the organism in Eukaryota, Metazoa, Chordata, Mammalia, Dasyuromorphia, Dasyuridae. The record is from RefSeq and is a predicted model, not a curated record. The transcript has 7 exons.